AUUAUCCCGAUAUUUCCAUCGAUAUUUCCGUGUUUUCGGAUUACCGAUAUUUCCGAUAUUACCGAUAUUUAAUACCUUGUUCCUGACACUAAAUAACUUAUGUUAUAUUUUUAAUUUGCUUUCCACCACGCUUCUGUAGCUGCACAACAUCUCUGUUCGGCCACUCUAUCUACAUUGGGUUGGUUGUAAUCCUUUCUUCUUCCUUAAGCUGGCUUUAAUACCAAUUAUUAAGAGCUCAUGGAUAGAACUUGCCUUGCAAAUCAAUUUGUGAGGGAAUGCCCAAGAGCUAUUAACCCGCUCAACAUAUGUUAUUUUUCUGAUGUGGAAGAAAUGGGCCCUAACAAAUUUGCACCCAAAAUUUCCAACCAAUAUGAUUAGAUCGAAUGACAUAUUUUCUAAUUAAUAUUUUAAAUAUGGUUAGUCUUUGGUUUAGUGUAUUCUCUACAAAGAUGCAAAUACAAUCUAUCAUUUGUGAUCUAUUCCAUACACCUAGUUGUGGGUAGCCUUGUCAUAAUAUGGUAUUUUUGUUAUUGAGGCAUGUUGUCCUUGUAAAACUAUCUUAAUAAAUAUCCCAGAGUUCAUAAAUUAAAAAUAAAAAAAAAUUAUUUCAUGCUUCUUUGAUUUAUAAGCAUUUUAAACAAAGAAUUUAUUGGUUAUUUUUUAUUAGUGACGAUAUUAUUUGUCUAAGUUACAUUAGAGGUAGGUAUAAAUAGACACGUGUCUAGUGAAAAAUAAUAAUGAAAAUAGAACCCUCUAGAAAGAAAGAAAAUCCUCAAAAUUGUUAGAAAUAAACGGAGUAGAGAGACGAGAGAAGGUGGAGGAGAAAUCAGCGUGUAUUUUCUUUUGAUUAGUGUGCCUAUUUAUAUGUUUAGGAUUUACGUACAUAGAAAAUGUUCUAACUAAUUACAUAUCAUAUAUUGUGACACACCCCGAUCCUAGAAUCAAGGCGUGCUGGCCGUCACGUGAGUGUGACGUAACCAAAAGUGCGACGUGGAAGCAAAAGAUAAGAGAAAUAUGAAUAAACAAAAACCAAAUACUAGCAAUGAUAACCAAGUAACGUGCUAGAGUAAGUUUAAGUGUGAAACACAUAAAUUCAGAGCAUAAGAACUAAGUGCAGUCAAGUAGGACCAUAACUAAAUUACAACACCCGCAGGUGAGUCCUACAUUUAUGUAGUCUGUCAGUACGCCGUGGGAAUCCUCAUGGGCCACCAACGCUGCUAACUAGAACCUGGAGGGGCGCAAAACAAAAUUGAGUGGGUCAAUAAAACCAAAGCUUUUCGAAAACAUUUCAUCAAAAACAAUUCUAACCUCUCGCUGUAAAACCUGUAUAAUUUCCCAGAAAAUAACAUAAUAGUAUAUAAUUCCUCAUAUAUCUCAAAUCAUUAAUCUUUAUCAAUUCCAGAAAAUAUGCCAUGCCAUAAAUGUCAAUAACAGAUUAUGAAUGCAUCAAUAUAACAGGUGACAUAAUGAAUCAACCGGAGACCUUGCAGUUGAUCAUGUACGGUUAAUUCCAUAGCUUAAUAUCCAAACCAACCGGAGUCACCAAGGUGACCUGUACGGCACUACUCUGCACAUAAGUCGGAACUACCUGAAGUAGUCUGUACAACAAGAAUGGUGUAAUAAUACGCUCUAGUGCUUCUCUCAACAAUCAUCUAUGCA
Molecule: long non-coding RNA, 1659 nt
Filed under: Malus domestica (apple)
Lineage: Eukaryota; Viridiplantae; Streptophyta; Magnoliopsida; Rosales; Rosaceae
Description: long non-coding RNA (MDOM_LNC000666)
Source: RNAcentral